Molecule: ribosomal RNA, 253 nt
Filed under: uncultured bacterium
Lineage: Bacteria
Description: partial 16S ribosomal RNA
Rfam family: Bacterial small subunit ribosomal RNA
Source: RNAcentral
UACGUAGGGCGCAAGCGUUAUCCGGAAUUAUUGGGCGUAAAGGGCUCGUAGGCGGUCUGUUGCGUCGGGAGUGAAAACUCAGGGCUUAACCCUGAGCCUGCUUCCGAUACGGGCAGACUAGAGGUAUGCAGGGGAGAACGGAAUUCCUGGUGUAGCGGUGAAAUGCGCAGAUAUCAGGAGGAACACCGGUGGCGAAGGCGGCCAUCUGGACGGCUAUUGACGCUGAGACGCGAAAGCAUGGGGAGCAAACAGG